UGGGGAAUAUUGCACAAUGGGGGAAACCCUGAUGCAGCCAUGCCGCGUGUGUGAAGAAGGCCUUCGGGUUGUAAAGCACUUUCAGUGGGGAGGAAGGGCUGAUGACUAAUAUUCAUCAGCAUUGACGUUACCCACAGAAGAAGCACCGGCUAACUCCGUGCCAGCAGCCGCGGUAAUACGGAGGGUGCAAGCGUUAAUCGGAAUAACUGGGCGUAAAGCGCACGCAGGCGGUUAGAUAAGUCAGAUGUGAAAGCCCCGGGCUCAACCUGGGAACUGCAUUUGAAACUGUCUGACUAGAGUCUUGUAGAGGGGGGUAGAAUUCCAGGUGUAGCGGUGAAAUGCGUAGAGAUCUGGAGGAAUACCGGUGGCGAAGGCGGCCCCCUGGACAAAGACUGACGCUCAGGUGCGAAAGCGUGGGGAGCAAACAGG
Molecule: ribosomal RNA, 429 nt
Filed under: uncultured bacterium
Lineage: Bacteria
Description: bacterial SSU rRNA
Rfam family: Bacterial small subunit ribosomal RNA
Source: RNAcentral